GGGGCUGUUUUGGAUUCGACGGGAUUGAUGAAGUUUCAGGUGCAUGUAAAGUCGAAGAGCUUUUCAAAACUUCAAUUAAAUAUAAGUGCAGACAAAUUCAUGCCUUUAAAUUUUGGUCGUUCAAACGGCCUAGCUUUAGCAGCUUAAUAACCUGACUAAACCAUCAUACCCUAGCCUCUGCUAGUAGGUAGUAGGGAGUUCUAUGAUGCAUUAUAAUAUUAUCAACUAGCUAGUAAUUCUGGGUUCGGAUUGUACUUGAAAUUAUGACAACUUAAUCAAUCUAGCCAGAGGUUCUUUUGUCCUACUUAUAAACUCUGGUGAAUGCCAAGUAGGAAUAAACAUGUAGAUCUUGGAAUGGAAUAGUUUCGGACAGGGGUUCAAAUCCCCUCAGCUCCACCA
This 399-nucleotide transfer-messenger RNA is filed under the name Psittacicella hinzii. RNAcentral describes it as "Standard tmRNA". It matches the Rfam family "transfer-messenger RNA". Rfam says of the family: Bacterial tmRNA, also known as 10Sa RNA or SsrA, is named for its dual tRNA and mRNA-like properties. Its role is to liberate the mRNA from a stalled ribosome. The record is from Rfam by way of RNAcentral. Lineage: Bacteria; Pseudomonadati; Pseudomonadota; Gammaproteobacteria; Pasteurellales; Psittacicellaceae.